UAAUCCACGCAUUUGAGCCCAUGAGUUAAGGAUGUGGGAUUCAGCGUUUGAAUGUCUGGACACAAAGAUAGGAGGGAAAAGAUUUCUUCUCAGAUGUCUCUUAAGAGCAUUGACUCCAGCUGCGAUCACAGCAUGAGCUGUUCACAUGGUGCAGCAUCAGACAGCACGCAGGGUAAGAAGCUUCCCAGGAUGUCACCAAGGCAGACAAAAAGGGAGAGAAAGAUCAUCGGAAGAGAGGUCUGUGAUCCAGAUAUGAACAGUGACAUGUCUAUGAAAGUGUACUGGCACAGGAGAAGUAUUGGAGGUCCUUGGAUUCAUGCCCAGGCAGAUGCUUUGGUCAAAGCUGCAGGGAGUGGGGUCUGCAGAAAUGGAGUCUAAAAUGGCUCUGAGUUAGGAGCAGCAGCUGCAGAAAACGUGGCCCAGAGAGAAAAUGGAAAUCAAGACAUGCAGGUGUGCAGUGUUGAAAGAGUUUUGCCCUGCAGAAUUCAGUUAACAGUUCAACAAAAGCUGCAUGAACCAGACAAGAUUCCAGCUCUGUCUAGACUCCAGAGACUUGACAUAUGAUAAAACGCGAUAAAAAUUUUACCAUAAGAAUAAAGAUGGGUGGCUGAAUAUGCA
Molecule: long non-coding RNA, 618 nt
Filed under: Phasianus colchicus (ring-necked pheasant)
Lineage: Eukaryota; Metazoa; Chordata; Aves; Galliformes; Phasianidae
Description: lncRNA (ENSPCLG00000004391.1)
Source: RNAcentral